This 528-nucleotide ribosomal RNA is filed under the name uncultured bacterium. Its description in RNAcentral is "partial 16S ribosomal RNA". It matches the Rfam family "Bacterial small subunit ribosomal RNA", at positions 355 to 874 of the family's 1533-position model. The record is from RNAcentral.
UGGGGAAUUUUGGACAAUGGGCGAAAGCCUGAUCCAGCAAUGCCGCGUGUGUGAAGAAGGCCUUCGGGUUGUAAAGCACUUUUGUCCGGAAAGAAAUCCUCUGGGUUAAUACCUCGGGGGGAUGACGGUACCGGAAGAAUAAGCACCGGCUAACUACGUGCCAGCAGCCGCGGUAAUACGUAGGGUGCAAGCGUUAAUCGGAAUUACUGGGCGUAAAGCGUGCGCAGGCGGUUUUGUAAGACGGAUGUGAAAUCCCCGGGCUUAACCUGGGAACUGCAUUCGUGACUGCAAGGCUAGAGUAUGGCAGAGGGGGGUUAGAAUUCCACGUGUAGCAGUGAAAUGCGUAGAGAUGUGGAGGAAUACCGAUGGCGAAGGCAGCCCCCUGGGCCAAUACUGACGCUCAUGCACGAAAGCGUGGGGGAGCAAACAGGAUUAGAUACCCUGGUAGUCCACGCCCUAAACGAUGUCAACUAGUUGUUGGGGAUUCAUUUCCUUAGUAACGUAGCUAACGCGUGAAGUUGACCGCCU